AUGCACAUCAAAGCUCUCUGAAAUAAUGAGACCAGCUCCAGCUGUUGGAUUCCUACAGCUUUUGAUUUGUGCUCUAGUAGAAGCUCCAGGUUUUGAUCCUCUGUUGAUAAUUUCCAUGGCAUUGAAGUUGAUUUGUGCAUUAUUUAAAAACAGACAGCUGACAGCAAACAAGGGUGAAUUUGCAAACCGCUUCUUAAAGGACAUUUUUGUUUCCGUUGUACAGAUUAUAGCUUCCCAUUCCCUUGCUCGGUCAUGGCUAUCCUAGUUGAAAAACUGACCUAUCCCCUUUUAUUGUUUCAAUUUUUUGACAGUUUAAAACAAAAACAAGGAAGCAUGCUGCACAAGACAGAUGUGUAUGCAAUGGGAAACAUCUGCUUAGUGAAUACUGCAUGCUCCAUUUUUAAGUGUCUGUUAUGAGAGAUGCCACUUUUCAGGAGGAUGCCAAUAUAAGCGAAAAUAAAGGAUCUUUCAAAACCAUCCAAAUACAUUGUCACACAUGAGUGGGCAGAACCUACAAUGAUCUGGCAUGAAGACUACAUGAGGAUUUCUAAUAGCAUAGGUUCUUGCAGGGCGGGAGUGAAACAACAUGUCCUUUUGAAAGCUCAGAGCAAAGUCACUUUAAAAGAGCUGCAGCAAGUAGUUCACUUGAUGUAGAAAGAAAAAAGAGCCAGGAUCUAUGCAGAAAUAUCCAACCUGAGGUAUACGUUCCAGCACAGAGUGACAGAAAACCUACAUAAUCCCCAGUUGUUUCCAGGAGACGAGAGGAUUUUUGGAGAAAGAAAAAACAACAAGAAAGUGGAAACACUGGCUGCCCUCAUUUUAAAAAUGAGAAAAAAAACUGUAAUUCCCAGGAAACAAUCAGCUAAUUCUCACUUUCGCUACAAAAGGGUUGGUGAUGAAAGGACACCUUUAAUUAAUAAGCACUGUUGCCACUGCUUUAGUAACAAGCUGCUGCAAAUGAAUCUGUAAUUGCUUCAAAAUAUAGUCUAUAAAAGUUCAUUUGACUCCUAAGUGCUAUUCUUUGUGGUGUUCUUGUAUCUGAUAAAAGAAGGUGAAUCACAUCACAUUGAUAUGUAAAGCUGUUUUCUGGAGUCACUGUACUCAAUAAGUCCUAACACAAAAUUUUGAAGUGCUGGGGAGAUAAUAAUUUUAGUAAUGCUGUAAUCAUAAACCUAUAACAUCGUAGGAAGCUUUUUAUUAACACUGAAUGCAUUAUUUGUACAAGUAAAUGUUUACAGAAACACUAAAAGGAGAAGAAGCCAUUUUAAAGGGAACAUCAAAACCUCAUGAUUUCGCCAAGCAAAAUUGUUUUUAUUUAAACAGAAGCUUUUUCUUUGGAGAGGCAAUCAUGUAAACCACCAUCCUUCCAAGUGUACUUUUUAUACCCAUUGUAAAUGCUUUUUAUGUAACUGGCUCUUUCUGUGAAAAGAGAACACAGAAAAAAAAACAUUUCAGAAUGCUUUCUUUGCAUUUCAGGAUUGAUGUAAAAUACUUAUUCGAGAUAUGACCGUGUAUAAUGCAGUAAUGCUUUUGCAUAUUGAAUGAGUUAUGCUUUGAACCUUUUGUACAGGUUGAACCUUUAUACAGAAUUCCAAAAUUCAAAAUUGUCUGCGUGGGUGGUUUCAAGAAUGAGACCACUGCUUUCUUACAAAUACUGUAAAUAAAAUUACCUUCAAGAUAUAUGUAUAAGGUGUAUAUAAGACAUAAAUGAAUUUUGUGUUUAGACUUGUGUCCCAUCUCUGAAAUACAGGUAUUCCAAAAUCUGAAGGAAACAAUCCCAAUAUCCAAAGCACUUCCAGAUCCAAACAUUUUAGAUAAGGUGUACUCAACCUGUACACCACUCGGAGUUCCUAGAAUAUGGGAUGUGAUCUAAAUAACUGUUCAUGAUUUGGUACGGUUGUCAUGACUGUAACUCCCUAGGGUUUUGUUUUGAAAAUAAUAGAGCAAAACAAAGUUCUAAUUUUCAGUGUAAUCUGAAGUUAUUUGUUCAUUUCCUUUGCUAAUUUCAUUGCUAAACAAAGUCACUCUUAUACAGAAAAAGCCAUUUAACCAAUCACAGAUGUUUCCUUCAAAAAAACAAACAAACAAAAGGCAGCAGGAGGAUAAGGGAAUGACAGAGGCCAAAAAGUUAAAUGUAAUAUCUGCAAGAAACAAUGUGUGAAAGUGACUGAGAGAAUGCUGAAGGAAAGCUAGUAAUCACUGUA
This is a long non-coding RNA of Anolis carolinensis (green anole), 2204 nucleotides long. RefSeq lists it as uncharacterized. Lineage: Eukaryota; Metazoa; Chordata; Lepidosauria; Squamata; Anolidae. The transcript has 3 exons. The record is from RefSeq and is a predicted model, not a curated record.